AUUGAACGCUGGCGGCAGGCCUAACACAUGCAAGUCGAACGCGAAAGCACUUCGGUGUGAGUAGAGUGGCGGACGGGUGAGUAACGCGUGGGAAUCUACCUAGUAGUGGAGGAUAACUCGGGGAAACUCGAGCUAAUACUGCAUACGCCCUACGGGGGAAAGCGGGGGAUCUUCGGACCUCGUGCUAUUGGAUGAGCCCGCGUUAGAUUAGCUUGUUGGUGAGGUAAUGGCUCACCAAGGCGACGAUCUAUAGCUGGUCUGAGAGGAUGAUCAGCCACAUUGGGACUGAGACACGGCCCAAACUCCUACGGGAGGCAGCAGUGGGGAAUAUUGCGCAAUGGGCGAAAGCCUGACGCAGCCAUGCCGCGUGUGUGAAGAAGGCCUUCGGGUUGUAAAGCACUUUCAAUAGGGAGGAAAGGUUGUAGUUUAAUACGCUGCAGCUGUGACGUUACCUAUAGAAGAAGGACCGGCUAACUCCGUGCCAGCAGCCGCGGUAAUACGGAGGGUCCGAGCGUUAAUCGGAAUUACUGGGCGUAAAGCGCGCGUAGGCGGCUUUGUUAGUCAGAUGUGAAAGCCCUGGGCUCAACCUAGGAACUGCAUUUGAUACUGCGAAGCUAGAGUAUGGUAGAGGAUAGUGGAAUUCCAGGUGUAGCGGUGAAAUGCGUAGAUAUCUGGAGGAACAUCAGUGGCGAAGGCGACUGUCUGGACCAAUACU
Molecule: ribosomal RNA, 715 nt
Filed under: bacterium IMCC11813
Lineage: Bacteria
Description: bacterial SSU rRNA
Rfam family: Bacterial small subunit ribosomal RNA
Source: RNAcentral